Molecule: ribosomal RNA, 556 nt
Filed under: Candida tropicalis
Lineage: Eukaryota; Fungi; Ascomycota; Pichiomycetes; Serinales; Debaryomycetaceae
Description: eukaryotic LSU rRNA
Rfam family: Eukaryotic large subunit ribosomal RNA
Source: RNAcentral
UGCCUUAGUAGCGGCGAGUGAAGCGGCAAAAGCUCAAAUUUGAAAUCUGGCUCUUUCAGAGUCCGAGUUGUAAUUUGAAGAAGGUAUCUUUGGGUCUGGCUCUUGUCUAUGUUUCUUGGAACAGAACGUCACAGAGGGUGAGAAUCCCGUGCGAUGAGAUGAUCCAGGCCUAUGUAAAGUUCCUUCGAAGAGUCGAGUUGUUUGGGAAUGCAGCUCUAAGUGGGUGGUAAAUUCCAUCUAAAGCUAAAUAUUGGCGAGAGACCGAUAGCGAACAAGUACAGUGAUGGAAAGAUGAAAAGAACUUUGAAAAGAGAGUGAAAAAGUACGUGAAAUUGUUGAAAGGGAAGGGCUUGAGAUCAGACUUGGUAUUUUGUAUGUUACUUCUUCGGGGGUGGCCUCUACAGUUUAUCGGGCCAGCAUCAGUUUGGGCGGUAGGAGAAUUGCGUUGGAAUGUGGCACGGCUUCGGUUGUGUGUUAUAGCCUUCGUCGAUACUGCCAGCCUAGACUGAGGACUGCGGUUUAUACCUAGGAUGUUGGCAUAAUGAUCUUAAGUCGC